Molecule: unclassified non-coding RNA, 254 nt
Filed under: Patescibacteria group bacterium
Lineage: Bacteria
Description: contains 16S-23S intergenic spacer region
Rfam family: Bacterial small subunit ribosomal RNA
Source: RNAcentral
UACGUAGGGUCCAAGCGCUACCCGGAAUUACUGGGCGUAAAGAGUGUGUAGGUGGGAAUUUAAGUGAGAUGCGAAAUCCGGCGGCUCAACCGUUUGGACUGUAUCUCAAACUGAAUUUCUAGAGGAUGGCAGAGGCAAGUGGAACUUGCGGUGUAGGAGUGAAAUCCGUAGAUAUCGCAAAGAACACCAAUGGCGAAGGCAGCUUGCUGGGCCAUUCCUGACACUGAGACACGAAAGCGUGGGGAGCGAACAGG